AGUUUGAUCCUGGCUCAGAACGAACGCUGGCGGCAGGCUUAACACAUGCAAGUCGAACGCCCCGCAAGGAGAGUGGCGGACGGGUGAGUAACGCGUGGGAACGUGCCCUUCGCUUCAGGAUAGCCUCGGGAAACUGGGAGUAAUACUGAAUACGCCGUAUUGGGAAAGAUUUAUCGGCGAAGGAUCGGCCCGCGUUAGAUUAGCUAGUUGGCGGUGUAAUGGACCACCAAGGCUACGAUCUAUAGCUGGUCUGAGAGGAUGAUCAGCCACACUGGGACUGAGACACGGCCCAGACUCCUACGGGAGGCAGCGGUGGGGAAUCUUGGACAAUGGGCGCAAGCCUGAUCCAGCCAUGCCGCGUGAGUGAAGAAGGCCUUAGGGUUGUAAAACUCUUUCGCCGGAGAAGAUAAUGACGGUAUCCGGAGAAGAAGCCCCGGCUAACUUCGUGCCAGCAGCCGCGGUAAUACGAAGGGGGCUAGCGUUGUUCGGAAUUACUGGGCGUAAAGCGCACGUAGGCGGGCUUGUAAGUAGGGGGUGAAAUCCCAGGGCUCAACCCUGGAACUGCCUCCUAAACUGCAAGCCUGGAGGUCAGGAGAGGCGAGUGGAAUACCGAGUGUAGA
RNAcentral lists this ribosomal RNA (620 nucleotides) under uncultured bacterium. RNAcentral's name for it is "bacterial SSU rRNA". It matches the Rfam family "Bacterial small subunit ribosomal RNA", at positions 10 to 679 of the family's 1533-position model. The record is from RNAcentral.